AAUCCAUAGGUUAAUGAGGCGAACCGGGGGAACUGAAACAUCUAAGUACCCCGAGGAAAAGAAAUCAACCGAGAUUCCCCCAGUAGCGGCGAGCGAACGGGGAGGAGCCCAGAGCCUGAAUCAGCAUGUGUGUUAGUGGAAGCGUCUGGAAAGGCGCGCGAUACAGGGUGACAGCCCCGUACACAAAAGCGCAUGUGCUGUGAGCUCGAUGAGUAGGGCGGGACACGUGGUAUCCUGUCUGAAUAUGGGGGGACCAUCCUCCAAGGCUAAAUACUCCUGACUGACCGAUAGUGAACCAGUACCGUGAGGGAAAGGCGAAAAGAACCCCGGCGAGGGGAGUGAAAAAGAACCUGAAACCGUGUACGUACAAGCAGUGGGAGCACCCUUUGGGUGUGACUGCGUACCUUUUGUAUAAUGGGUCAGCGACUUAUAUUCUGUAGCAAGGUUAACCGAAUAGGGGAGCCGGAGGGAAACCGAGUCUUAAUUGG
Molecule: ribosomal RNA, 488 nt
Filed under: Salmonella enterica subsp. enterica serovar Enteritidis
Lineage: Bacteria; Pseudomonadati; Pseudomonadota; Gammaproteobacteria; Enterobacterales; Enterobacteriaceae
Description: partial 23S ribosomal RNA
Rfam family: Bacterial large subunit ribosomal RNA
Source: RNAcentral